Molecule: long non-coding RNA, 429 nt
Organism: Hyla sarda
Lineage: Eukaryota; Metazoa; Chordata; Amphibia; Anura; Hylidae
Exons: 3
Source: RefSeq, a predicted model, not a curated record
CCAAAUCGAUCACUAUGUAGGAGGGGUUGUAGAGGGGAAAGGAUAGAGCUGGCUGAAUUCCCGGCUAGAGUGUCCUGACCAGAAAGGAAGUUGGGCUGAAAAAGGCAAAACAGCAGAAAGUUUUCAUCAGAAGCAGAAGAAAAGAAUGAAGGACCACCAGAAGAUAAAAAAGAAGGAAAAGGAUCUCCAUCAGGGAGGAAGACUAAUGAAUCAUUUGAUGCAUUGAUACAGAGGAAGAGGUUCUACGUUUUCUGUCCAAAGUGAAGACAAAUAAGUCACAGGGGCCUGAUGGGAUUUACCCGAAAUUAUUAAAAGAGCUAAUUGCCAGAGAUGGCAGCAUUCCCCAAUUCUCAAAUUAUCUCCAACCACACUGCUGCUACAGAAAGCGAAGUAGAAGAAACAUCAGCAGCAAGAUAACAGAGACCUGAG